This 69-nucleotide transfer RNA is filed under the name Picromerus lewisi. RNAcentral's name for it is "tRNA-His". Lineage: Eukaryota; Metazoa; Arthropoda; Insecta; Hemiptera; Pentatomidae. The record is from RNAcentral. RNAcentral also lists the same sequence under 1 other name.
AUUUAAGUAGUUUAAUAGAGAAUAAUAAUUUGUGGUGUUGUAGGUGGAGUUAAUAAAAUUCCUUAGAUC